AUUCCAUGAUGUGGGCAUUUCCUUUGUAAUUCUUUAAAAAGUUCCCAUGCAUCAUAUAAAGAUUCCCCUUCCAAUUGAUGGAAGUUAUUAAUUUCUCCCCUAUAUC
Molecule: small nucleolar RNA, 106 nt
Organism: Humulus lupulus (European hop)
Lineage: Eukaryota; Viridiplantae; Streptophyta; Magnoliopsida; Rosales; Cannabaceae
Source: RefSeq, a predicted model, not a curated record